AUGGGGAGGAUUGGGGGAAUCCGGGGGAAAGGGGCCCCUGGACAAAGAUGCGUCAGGUGCGAAAACGGGGGGAGCAAACCGGAUUAGAUACCCUGGUGUUCCACGCGUUAAAGAUGUCGACUUGGAGGUUGUUCCUUGAGGAGUGGCUUCCGGAGUAACGCGUUAAGUCGACCGCGGGGGAGGGAGGGCGCAAGUUAAAACUCAAAUGAAUUGACGGGGCCCCCACAAGCGGUGGAGCAUGUGGUUUAAUUCGAUCAACGGAAGAACCUUACCUACUCUUGACAUCCAAGGAAUUUGGCAGAGAGCCUUAGUGCCUUUGGGAACCGUGGGACAGGUGCUCCAUGGCUGUCUUCAGCUCGUGUUGUGAAAAGUUGGGUUAAGUCCCGCAACGAGCGCAACCCUUAUCCUUUGUUGCCAGCGAUUCGGUCGGGAACUCAAAGGAGACUGCCGGUGAUAAACCGGAGGAAGGUGGGGAUGACGUCAAGUCAUCAUGGCCCUUACGAGUAGGGCUACACACGUGCUACAAUGGCGCAUACAAAGAGAAGGGACCUCGCGAGAGCAAGCGGACCUCACAAAGUGCGUCGUAGUCCGGAUCGGAGUCUGCAACUCGACUCCGUGAAGUCGGAAUCGCUAGUAAUCGUGGAUCAGAAUGCCACGGUGAAUACGUUCCCGGGCCUUGUACACACCGCCCGUCACACCAUGGGAGUGGGCUGGAAAAGAAGUAAGUAGCUUUGCUCCCGGGGGGGAAAGAACCCCGUUGUUAGUCCUCACNGGGNGNG
RNAcentral lists this ribosomal RNA (779 nucleotides) under Pantoea agglomerans. RNAcentral's name for it is "bacterial SSU rRNA". It matches the Rfam family "Bacterial small subunit ribosomal RNA", at positions 688 to 1482 of the family's 1533-position model. Lineage: Bacteria; Pseudomonadati; Pseudomonadota; Gammaproteobacteria; Enterobacterales; Erwiniaceae. The record is from RNAcentral.